Molecule: ribosomal RNA, 252 nt
Filed under: uncultured bacterium
Lineage: Bacteria
Description: partial 16S ribosomal RNA
Rfam family: Bacterial small subunit ribosomal RNA
Source: RNAcentral
UACGGAGGAUGCGAGCAUUAUCCGGAUUUAUUGGGUUUAAAGGGUGCGUAGGCGGGAUGCCAAGUCAGCGGUAAAAAUGCGGUGCUCAACGCCGUCGAGCCGUUGAAACUGGCGUUCUUGAGUGGGCGAGAAGUAUGCGGAAUGCGUGGUGUAGCGGUGAAAUGCAUAGAUAUCAUGCAGAACUCCGAUUGCGAAGGCAGCAUACCGGCGCCCUACUGACGCUGAGGCACGAAAGCGUGGGUAUCGAACAGG